GACGAACGCUGGCGGCGUGCUUAAUACAUGCAAGUCGAGCGAGGCCCAUCCAGUGGCAACACUGGGGAAGGCCGAGCGGCGAACGGGUGAGUAACACGUGAGCAACCUGCCCCGAAGUCUGGAAUAACAUCGGGAAACCGGUGCUAAUACCGGAUUGCCCCACCUGACCGCAUGAUCGGGUGAGGAAAGAUUUAUCGCUUCGGGAGGGGCUCGCGGCCUAUCAGCUAGUUGGCGGGGUAACGGCCCACCAAGGCGUCGACGGGUAGCUGGUCUGAGAGGACGACCAGCCACACUGGGACUGAGACACGGCCCAGACUCCUACGGGAGGCAGCAGUAGGGAAUCUUGCGCAAUGGGCGAAAGCCUGACGCAGCAACGCCGCGUGGGGAUGACGGCCU
RNAcentral lists this ribosomal RNA (396 nucleotides) under uncultured bacterium. RNAcentral's name for it is "bacterial SSU rRNA". It matches the Rfam family "Bacterial small subunit ribosomal RNA", at positions 28 to 417 of the family's 1533-position model. The record is from RNAcentral.